Molecule: long non-coding RNA, 283 nt
Filed under: Theobroma cacao (cacao)
Lineage: Eukaryota; Viridiplantae; Streptophyta; Magnoliopsida; Malvales; Malvaceae
Description: long non-coding RNA (TCAC_LNC000844)
Source: RNAcentral
UGCCACAAGGAUAAUAUUGUUGGUACUGCACCAUCUCUAAGAGCAUCCAAAAAGAUUUUGCUAUACCAGCAAGAAUGGUCCUGUUGAGGCAAAAUAAAAUAAAAUCUUCGUAUAAUGAGUUUAAGGGUAAGAUAUACCUGGUUUUUGGCAGUUUCAUCUUCUCCUUCUACGUAGCACUGGCCUCAAGGCUUUCUCUAGAUAAACACUAGGUGUUACGGUGUUACAUUUGCAUUAUCCUCUUUCAAGUCCAAGCAGAAGUUCUAAAAGUGACAAGUGAAAAAGC